Lynx canadensis (Canada lynx) is the source of this 155-nucleotide small nucleolar RNA. Its record names the gene U3. It matches the Rfam family "Small nucleolar RNA U3". From Rfam's summary of the family: Small nucleolar RNAs (snoRNAs) are involved in the processing and modification of rRNA in the nucleolus. NCBI's taxonomy places the organism in Eukaryota, Metazoa, Chordata, Mammalia, Carnivora, Felidae. The record is from Ensembl.
AAGUUAAAACUAGUUUGUUACUAGAGAAGUUUCUCUGAACGUGUAGAGUACUUGAAGCCACGAGGAGGAGAUGCAGUGUCCCUUCCUGAGCGUGAAGUGAUGAUCGUUCUUCUCCUCUUGGAAGAGGAAGAGGGAAGGGACACCGUCUGAGUGGU